CCAUAAAGUUUGUAACUAUGUUGGCUGAAGCAGAUGGAGAAAAAUUCAUGAACUUCGAUAGAUAAAGGACUAGAUUGCUCGCAUUUGCCAGAGACAGGAAUUGUUUGCUAUGAAAAGGACAUGGAGAGGAAAAGGCUUACCUGAUUGGUUGCUUGGUGUCAGCACAUGUGCCCUUUUCCUUCUGAAAGAGGGAAUUGUACUGGACUAGUGGUGCUAUCCUGAAAUGUAAGUCGACCAUUUGAAUGCCUUAUCUGGAAGAUGUCAGAUGCAUUUUCUGAAACAAAAUGAAAACUAAAUUAAAUCAGUUUAUAGCUAUAGCACAAUCUAAAAUAUUAGUAGCUUGGUGUAGAUGUCAGCAAAUGAUUCAGUUACUAACAAAUUGUUCAGCAAAGUUAGUUCCAAAACACUCUAUUGAUAUGCAUGCCUAGUAUGAACAAGUUUGAUGCUUA
Long non-coding RNA from Solanum tuberosum (potato), 449 nucleotides. RefSeq lists it as uncharacterized. The record is from RefSeq and is a predicted model, not a curated record. The transcript has 2 exons. Lineage: Eukaryota; Viridiplantae; Streptophyta; Magnoliopsida; Solanales; Solanaceae.